UUAACACAUGCAAGUCGAACGGAAAGGCCCUUCGGGGUGCUCGAGUGGCGAACGGGUGAGUAACACGUGGGUGAUCUGCCCUGCACUUUGGGAUAAGCCUGGGAAACUGGGUCUAAUACCGAAUAGGACUGCGCUCUUCAUGGGGUGUGGUGGAAAGCUUUUGCGGUGUGGGAUGGGCCCGCGGCCUAUCAGCUUGUUGGUGGGGUAAUGGCCUACCAAGGCGACGACGGGUAGCCGGCCUGAGAGGGUGACCGGCCACACUGGGACUGAGAUACGGCCCAGACUCCUACGGGAGGCAGCAGUGGGGAAUAUUGCACAAUGGGCGCAAGCCUGAUGCAGCGACGCCGCGUGAGGGAUGACGGCCUUCGGGUUGUAAACCUCUUUCAGUGCCGACGAAGCGCAAGUGACGGUAGGCAUAGAAGAAGGACCGGCCAACUACGUGCCAGCAGCCGCGGUAAUACGUAGGGUCCGAGCGUUGUCCGGAAUUACUGGGCGUAAAGAGCUCGUAGGUGGUUUGUCGCGUUGUUCGUGAAAACUCACAGCUCAACUGUGGGCGUGCGGGCGAUACGGGCAGACUGGAGUACUGCAGGGGAGACUGGAAUUCCUGGUGUAGCGGUGGAAUGCGCAGAUAUCAGGAGGAACACCGGUGGCGAAGGCGGGUCUCUGGGCAGUAACUGACGCUGAGGAGCGAAAGCGUGGGGAGCGAACAGGAUUAGAUACCCUGGUAGUCCACGCCGUAAACGGUGGGUACUAGGUG
This 757-nucleotide ribosomal RNA is filed under the name Mycobacterium sp. Its description in RNAcentral is "bacterial SSU rRNA". It matches the Rfam family "Bacterial small subunit ribosomal RNA", at positions 48 to 822 of the family's 1533-position model. Lineage: Bacteria; Bacillati; Actinomycetota; Actinomycetes; Mycobacteriales; Mycobacteriaceae. The record is from RNAcentral.